Molecule: ribosomal RNA, 1425 nt
Filed under: Bacillus subtilis
Lineage: Bacteria; Bacillati; Bacillota; Bacilli; Caryophanales; Bacillaceae
Description: bacterial SSU rRNA
Rfam family: Bacterial small subunit ribosomal RNA
Source: RNAcentral
AGAGUUUGAUCCUGGCUCAGGACGAACGCUGGCGGCGUGCCUAAUACAUGCAAGUCGAGCGGACAGAUGGGAGCUUGCUCCCUGAUGUUAGCGGCGGACGGGUGAGUAACACGUGGGUAACCUGCCUGUAAGACUGGGAUAACUCCGGGAAACCGGGGCUAAUACCGGAUGGUUGUUUGAACCGCAUGGUUCAAACAUAAAAGGUGGCUUCGGCUACCACUUACAGAUGGACCCGCGGCGCAUUAGCUAGUUGGUGAGGUAACGGCUCACCAAGGCAACGAUGCGUAGCCGACCUGAGAGGGUGAUCGGCCACACUGGGACUGAGACACGGCCCAGACUCCUACGGGAGGCAGCAGUAGGGAAUCUUCCGCAAUGGACGAAAGUCUGACGGAGCAACGCCGCGUGAGUGAUGAAGGUUUUCGGAUCGUAAAGCUCUGUUGUUAGGGAAGAACAAGUACCGUUCGAAUAGGGCGGUACCUUGACGGUACCUAACCAGAAAGCCACGGCUAACUACGUGCCAGCAGCCGCGGUAAUACGUAGGUGGCAAGCGUUGUCCGGAAUUAUUGGGCGUAAAGGGCUCGCAGGCGGUUUCUUAAGUCUGAUGUGAAAGCCCCCGGCUCAACCGGGGAGGGUCAUUGGAAACUGGGGAACUUGAGUGCAGAAGAGGAGAGUGGAAUUCCACGUGUAGCGGUGAAAUGCGUAGAGAUGUGGAGGAACACCAGUGGCGAAGGCGACUCUCUGGUCUGUAACUGACGCUGAGGAGCGAAAGCGUGGGGAGCGAACAGGAUUAGAUACCCUGGUAGUCCACGCCGUAAACGAUGAGUGCUAAGUGUUAGGGGGUUUCCGCCCCUUAGUGCUGCAGCUAACGCAUUAAGCACUCCGCCUGGGGAGUACGGUCGCAAGACUGAAACUCAAAGGAAUUGACGGGGCCCGCACAAGCGGUGGAGCAUGUGGUUUAAUUCGAAAGCAACGCGAAGAACCUUACCAGGUCUUGACAUCCUCUGACAAUCCUAGAGAUAGGACGUCCCCUUCGGGGGCAGAGUGACAGGUGGUGCAUGGUUGUCGUCAGCUCGUGUCGUGAGAUGUUGGGUUAAGUCCCGCAACGAGCGCAACCCUUGAUCUUAGUUGCCAGCAUUCAGUUGGGCACUCUAAGGUGACUGCCGGUGACAAACCGGAGGAAGGUGGGGAUGACGUCAAAUCAUCAUGCCCCUUAUGACCUGGGCUACACACGUGCUACAAUGGACAGAACAAAGGGCAGCGAAACCGCGAGGUUAAGCCAAUCCCACAAAUCUGUUCUCAGUUCGGAUCGCAGUCUGCAACUCGACUGCGUGAAGCUGGAAUCGCUAGUAAUCGCGGAUCAGCAUGCCGCGGUGAAUACGUUCCCGGGCCUUGUACACACCGCCCGUCACACCACGAGAGUUUGUA